RNAcentral lists this ribosomal RNA (264 nucleotides) under uncultured bacterium. RNAcentral's name for it is "partial 16S ribosomal RNA". It matches the Rfam family "Bacterial small subunit ribosomal RNA", at positions 67 to 334 of the family's 1533-position model. The record is from RNAcentral.
CGGCACCUAUCUUCGGAUAGAGGCGAGUGGCGAACGGCUGAGUAACACGUGGAGAACCUGCCCCCUCCCCCGGGAUAGCCGCCCGAAAGGACGGGUAAUACCGGAUACCCCGGGGUGCCGCAUGGCACCCCGGCUAAAGCCCCGACGGGAGGGGAUGGCUCCGCGGCCCAUCAGGUAGACGGCGGGGUGACGGCCCACCGUGCCGACAACGGGUAGCCGGGUUGAGAGACCGACCGGCCAGAUUGGGACUGAGACACGGCCCAG